RNAcentral lists this ribosomal RNA (215 nucleotides) under Clostridioides difficile. RNAcentral describes it as "partial 23S ribosomal RNA". It matches the Rfam family "Bacterial large subunit ribosomal RNA", at positions 2223 to 2437 of the family's 2925-position model. The record is from RNAcentral. Lineage: Bacteria; Bacillati; Bacillota; Clostridia; Peptostreptococcales; Peptostreptococcaceae.
AACCAUAGGCCAUGAAUCUGGUCUUGGGACACUGUCAGGUGGGCAGUUUGACUGGGGCGGUCGCCUCCCAAAAGGUAACGGAGGCGCCCAAAGGUUCUCUCAGUACGGUCGGAAAUCGUACGUAGAGGGUAAAGGCAAAAGAGAGCUUGAUUGCAAGACAUACAGGUCGAGCAAGGAUGAAAAUCGGACUUAGUGAUCCGGUGGUUCUGCGUGGA